Molecule: long non-coding RNA, 441 nt
Filed under: Brassica napus (rape)
Lineage: Eukaryota; Viridiplantae; Streptophyta; Magnoliopsida; Brassicales; Brassicaceae
Description: long non-coding RNA (BNAP_LNC003051)
Source: RNAcentral
ACAUCCUCUUCCCAUUGAUGUCUCUAAGAAACGUAUGUAGUUAUGCCUUUCAAUCCAUGAUGUCCUAUUUGUAGACUGUGUGUUCCGGUUAAUAUCAUCUUUCCGUUUGCACAAGAUCACUGAAACCCAAACACGCUCACAGUUUACUCAUGAAAUGGCGAAUCAGCAACUGUAAUCGUCUUCGUUUCUGGGAAGCUCCGAAUUUAAAGCAAUGAGAAGAACUCACUGGUGUUGAUAUGGUUUUUGUCAAUGGAAAGGUUUGUAUAUUAUGAUUUUGUUUGGUUGAAAUACUUCUUCAAUUGUGAAAAACAAACACUUUACUGUUUACAUUCUUUUUUCACAGUCAAGCAUGAUUCGAGGGUUUAUCAAUGUCCACCGACUCAACUCCUACAAACAUAUCCUAAUAGAAGGAAUUUUUUUAUGAUUUACGAGCUUAGCCUG